UAGGGAAUCUUCCGCAAUGGACGCAAGUCUGACGGAGCAACGCCGCGUGAGUGAAGAAGGAUUUCGGUUCGUAAAACUCUGUUGUUAGAGAAGAACAGCGCAUAGAGUAACUGUUAUGCGUGUGACGGUAUCUAACCAGAAAUCCACGGCUAACUACGUGCCAGCAGCCGCGGUAAUACGUAGGUCCCGAGCGUUGUCCGGAUUUAUUGGGCGUAAAGCGAGCGCAGGCGGUUAGAUAAGUCUGAAGUUAAAGGCAGUGGCUCAACCAUUGUAGGCUUUGGAAACUGUUUAACUUGAGUGCAGAAGGGGAGAGUGGAAUUCCAUGUGUAGCGGUGAAAUGCGUAGAUAUAUGGAGGAACACCGGUGGCGAAAGCGGCUCUCUGGUCUGUAACUGACGCUGAGGCUCGAAAGCGUGGGGAGCGAACAGG
Molecule: ribosomal RNA, 428 nt
Filed under: Bacteroidota bacterium
Lineage: Bacteria; Pseudomonadati; Bacteroidota
Description: Bacteroidetes bacterium partial 16S ribosomal RNA
Rfam family: Bacterial small subunit ribosomal RNA
Source: RNAcentral